RNAcentral lists this ribosomal RNA (248 nucleotides) under uncultured Staphylococcus sp. RNAcentral describes it as "partial 16S ribosomal RNA". It matches the Rfam family "Bacterial small subunit ribosomal RNA", at positions 92 to 334 of the family's 1533-position model. Lineage: Bacteria; Bacillati; Bacillota; Bacilli; Caryophanales; Staphylococcaceae. The record is from RNAcentral.
UUAGCGGCGGACGGGUGAGUAACACGUGGAUAACCUACCUAUAAGACUGGGAUAACUUCGGUAAACCGGAGCUAAUACCGGAUAAUAUUUUGAACCGCAUGGUUCAAAAGUGAAAGACGGUCUUGCUGUCACUUAUAGAUGGAUCCGCGCCGCAUUAGCUAGUUGGUAAGGUAACGGCUUACCAAGGCAACGAUGCAUAGCCGACCUGAGAGGGUGACCGGCCACACUGGAACUGAGACACGGUCCAG